AGAGGCCGCUGCUAUCCGGCUGGGACUAAGCCAUGGUAGUCAUGGGGCGCGGGCCGCUUUCGCGGUUCGUGCACCGGCGGACAGCUCAGUAACACGUGGCCAACCUGCCCUCGGGAGGGGGAUAACCCCGGGAAACUGGGGCUAAACCCCCAUAGGGAAUGGGCGGUGGAAUUCCCCCAUUCCCGAAAGUGUGCGGUUGCCGUAAGGCGCCGCACAGCCCGAGGAUGGGGCUGCGGCGGAUUAGGUAGUUGGCGGGGUAAUGGCCCGCCAAGCCGAAGAUCCGUACGGGCCAUGAGAGUGGGAGCCCGGAGAUGGACCCUGAGACAAGGGUCCAGGCCCUACGGGGCGCACCAGGCGCGAAACCUCCGCAAUGCGGGAAACCGC
This 384-nucleotide ribosomal RNA is filed under the name uncultured euryarchaeote. RNAcentral's name for it is "bacterial SSU rRNA". It matches the Rfam family "Archaeal small subunit ribosomal RNA", at positions 19 to 368 of the family's 1478-position model. Lineage: Archaea; Methanobacteriati; Methanobacteriota. The record is from RNAcentral.